RNAcentral lists this ribosomal RNA (434 nucleotides) under uncultured Lachnospiraceae bacterium. RNAcentral describes it as "partial 16S ribosomal RNA". It matches the Rfam family "Bacterial small subunit ribosomal RNA", at positions 341 to 792 of the family's 1533-position model. Lineage: Bacteria; Bacillati; Bacillota; Clostridia; Lachnospirales; Lachnospiraceae. The record is from RNAcentral.
ACGGAAGGCAGCAGUGGGGAAUAUUGCACAAUGGGGGAAACCCUGAUGCAGCGACGCCGCGUGAGUGAAGAAGUUAUUCGUAAUGUAAAGCUCUAUCAGCAGGGAAGAAAAUGACGGUACCUGACUAAGAAGCCCCGGCUAACUACGUGCCAGCAGCCGCGGUAAUACGUAGGGGGCAAGCGUUAUCCGGAUUUACUGGGUGUAAAGGGAGCGUAGACGGUCUAGCAAGUCUGAUGUGAAAGGCAGGGGCUCAACUCCUGGACUGCAUUGGAAACUGUUAGUCUUGAAUGUCGGAGAGGUAAGCGGAAUUCCUAGUGUAGCGGUGAAAUGCGUAGAUAUUAGGAGGAACACCAGUGGCGAAGGCGGCUUACUGGACGAUAACUGACGUUGAGGCUCGAAAGCGUGGGGAGCAAACAGGAUUAGAUACCCUGGUA